GCCGGCCUAGCUCAACUGGUAGAGCAACUGACUUGUAAUUAGUAGGUUGGGGGUUCAAGUCCUCUGGCCGGCACCA
RNAcentral lists this transfer RNA (76 nucleotides) under Staphylococcus simulans. Its description in RNAcentral is "tRNA-Thr(tgt)". It matches the Rfam family "tRNA". From Rfam's summary of the family: Transfer RNA (tRNA) molecules are approximately 80 nucleotides in length. Their secondary structure includes four short double-helical elements and three loops (D, anti-codon, and T loops). Lineage: Bacteria; Bacillati; Bacillota; Bacilli; Caryophanales; Staphylococcaceae. The record is from RNAcentral. RNAcentral also lists the same sequence under 1 other name.